GACGAACGCUGGCGGCGUGCUUAACACAUGCAAGUCGUACGGUAAGGCCCUUUCGUUGGUACACGAGUGGCGAACGGGUGCGUAACACGUGAGUAACCUGCCCACAACUUUGGGACAACGCUAGGAAACUGGUGCUAAUACUGGAUAUGUGCCCCUGCUGCAUGGGGGGGGUUGGAAAGCUCCGGCGGUUGUGGAUGGACUCGCUGCCUAUCAGCUUGUUGGUGGGGUAGUGGCCUACCAAGGCGGCGACGGGUAGCCGGCCUGAGAGGGUGACCGGCCACAUUGGGACUGAGAUACGGCCGAGACUCCUACGGGAGGCAGAAGUGGGGAAUAUUGCAGAAUGGGCGCAAGCCUGAUGCAGCAACGCCGCGUGCGGGAUGACGGCCUUAGGGUUGUAAACCGAUUUCAGAAGGGACGAAGCUUUUUGUGACGGUACCUGCAGAAGAAGCACCGGCUAACUACGUG
This 465-nucleotide ribosomal RNA is filed under the name uncultured bacterium. RNAcentral's name for it is "partial 16S ribosomal RNA". It matches the Rfam family "Bacterial small subunit ribosomal RNA", at positions 28 to 507 of the family's 1533-position model. The record is from RNAcentral.